AUCUUUCUCUCAACAUUCUCGUCAAUAAAGUCUGUUCUUAUCAGCUUAAUAUCUGAUACGGGUCCUAUUUGGACCCAAGAUAUUAAACUUAUUUUUGGAAUGGGGCGGAGUGCUUGAAGCUUGCUUCACCUCCGCCACGGGUUGGCCCGGUAUUGCACUAUCUCCGGGAUCGGCCCACUCACC
This 183-nucleotide small nuclear RNA is filed under the name Rhipicephalus sanguineus (brown dog tick). RNAcentral's name for it is "U2 spliceosomal RNA". It matches the Rfam family "U2 spliceosomal RNA". Rfam says of the family: U2 is a small nuclear RNA (snRNA) component of the spliceosome (involved in pre-mRNA splicing). Complementary binding between U2 snRNA (in an area lying towards the 5' end but 3' to hairpin I) and the branchpoint sequence (BPS) of the intron results the bulging out of an unpaired adenosine, on the BPS, which initiates a nucleophilic attack at the intronic 5' splice site, thus starting the first of two transesterification reactions that mediate splicing. The record is from Rfam by way of RNAcentral. Lineage: Eukaryota; Metazoa; Arthropoda; Arachnida; Ixodida; Ixodidae.